GCCCUACGGGAGGCAGCAGUGGGGAAUCUUGCGCAAUGGGCGAAAGCCUGACGCAGCCAUGCCGCGUGAAUGAUGAAGGUCUUAGGAUUGUAAAAUUCUUUCACCGGGGACGAUAAUGACGGUACCCGGAGAAGAAGCUCCGGCUAACUUCGUGCCAGCAGCCGCGGUAAUACGAAGGGGGCUAGCGUUGCUCGGAAUUACUGGGCGUAAAGGGCGCGUAGGCGGACAGCUUAGUCAGAGGUGAAAGCCCAGGGCUCAACCUUGGAAUUGCCUUUGAUACUGGCUGUCUUGAGUUUGGGAGAGGUGAGUGGAACUCCGAGUGUAGAGGUGAAAUUCGUAGAUAUUCGGAAGAACACCAGUGGCGAAGGCGACUCACUGGCCCAAUACUGACGCUGAGGCGCGAAAGCGUGGGGAGCAAACAGGAUUAGAUACCCCGGUAGUC
RNAcentral lists this ribosomal RNA (442 nucleotides) under uncultured Caulobacteraceae bacterium. RNAcentral's name for it is "bacterial SSU rRNA". It matches the Rfam family "Bacterial small subunit ribosomal RNA", at positions 335 to 795 of the family's 1533-position model. Lineage: Bacteria; Pseudomonadati; Pseudomonadota; Alphaproteobacteria; Caulobacterales; Caulobacteraceae. The record is from RNAcentral.